This 1335-nucleotide long non-coding RNA is filed under the name Mustela putorius furo (domestic ferret). Its description in RNAcentral is "lncRNA (ENSMPUG00000031564.1)". The record is from RNAcentral. Lineage: Eukaryota; Metazoa; Chordata; Mammalia; Carnivora; Mustelidae.
AGCAAAGGGGACUCUUGAUUUUAUCUAUGUUCUCCUUGGUGGUCUAAUAGAUGUGGGGCUUCUCUCUCACUCAUUUCCCAUGUUAAGGGCUAUAAUUGGAGCCAGCUGGGGUUAGUCUAACUCAAGACAGAGACUUUAAGGAAUAUUCCCAAGCAGUUGACGAAACUCCUUUUGUUUUGGGGAAAUUCCCUAUCUUCUCUGGCCCAACUUAGACUGCUUAGCCCCUCCCUCCUUGCUGGUGGGAAAGCAUGGCGUCUGCUCCUCUGUUGCGGGUGAUGAGCUCUGAAACCAGGAAUCCUUUCUCUGCCUCCUGGCAGCACUUUGUUUCUUCUGUCUCCCCCUUCUCCUGUUUUGUGCACCAACGUGUGUGCAGCCUGCAUGACUAGCCUCUAGACCAUGCACCAUGGCUCCUUCUCUCUUCACUGUCAAGGAGCAAAAAGAGCAGCCCCCCGACCUAACACCCCGCACUCUGGAUCUUCCCACCCGUGUCUCAGACCAAGAAAACUUUUUUCUUAAGAUGUCUGUGACUUACAGAAAUGGAAAAAUAUUUAUUUGCAAAUGAAUCAAGGCAUUCAACUUUUCUCUCUACCUGAAUCCUCUGAAACCAAAAGGUCUCACAUUUACUCCUCGGUUGAAUCCACCGCUCUGCACUCCACCGGGACAGAGCCCAGGCUGGACUGCCAGGCAGAGCUCCUUUUCCUUUUGCGGGCUCCCUGCCUCCCUGUUGAAGCAGAGGGUGGUUGCUAAUUGGGCCCUGAGAAGUCAUCAGUAGGAGCCUCAUGGCUCAUCUGUUCAAAGCAAAGUGGAUUUGUUCGUCUGGGCAGUUCCUAAGUGUCUUGGUUCGUUGGACCUCCCUAAUGACUCGGAUGAAAUAAUGUAGUUUUCUGGGCUCUGAGGAAUUCUGAGGCCUCCAGCUUUUAAAUCAACUGCAAAGUACUCUUUAGGUACUUGAACGCAUGACAUAUUUUGUGUUACUGUUUUCGUGGGCCACCCACUUGGGCUCAUUCUACUGAGCAUGCCCAGCUGAGAGGGACAUGCUGCCCCCCUUUCCAUGGCUGUUGAGAAGGAGAAGCCGGAUAAAUUGAGAAAGCCGUAGUGUCAAAUAAAUGAGUGCCAUGGAAAAGCUCAGCAAUGCUAAGAGGACGCCAACCUUUUUGUGAGUAAGUAGAAAUCCGUUAAUAUCGAUGGGGGGUUUAUAGUGUCAGGGGGCUCUCCGGUGUGUAUCCCAGGCAUCUGCUAAUGGCAGGAAGAUGCAUGAUUACCAGCAUCUCUGAAAUGUGGGCGCCUCAUGAUUUAGGUGAUGUCUUGGCUGAUGAUAUUUGCAAGGGUCCUCGC